AAAUUGAAGAGUUUGAUCAUGGCUCAGAUUGAACGCUGGCGGCAGGCCUAACACAUGCAAGUCGAACGGUAACAGGAAGCAGCUUGCUGUUUCGCUGACGAGUGGCGGACGGGUGAGUAAUGUCUGGGAAACUGCCUGAUGGAGGGGGAUAACUACUGGAAACGGUAGCUAAUACCGCAUAACGUCGCAAGACCA
RNAcentral lists this ribosomal RNA (195 nucleotides) under Escherichia coli. RNAcentral's name for it is "partial 16S ribosomal RNA". It matches the Rfam family "Bacterial small subunit ribosomal RNA", at positions 1 to 203 of the family's 1533-position model. The record is from RNAcentral. RNAcentral also lists the same sequence under 1 other name. Lineage: Bacteria; Pseudomonadati; Pseudomonadota; Gammaproteobacteria; Enterobacterales; Enterobacteriaceae.